CUCGUCCUCCACUUCUGUUUGUAAAGUCACUUCCUCCUCCUCAUUCUCCUCUUUCACGACAAUGUUCAGCCACAGACCCUCUUUCUCUGCCCAGCAGACCUCUUCUUUAUCAGGAGCAAACGGAGGUCAGGCCGAGGUGGCUGGCGGUGUCCGGUCGGCUACGUUAUCGGUCACACUCUGGGAGAAUAGUCUCCAGGACGCACAUCGCCACCUGCUGACUGGAGUGGGUUAUGACUGGAGUAGGUAAUCUCUGAAACAUAGAACUCCAUCUCGGAUAAUUUGGUUAGCUGCUCUGUCCACGGUCGUUUGAGAGCGUAUAACACAGUUGAGAAAAUAAAGAUGUUCAUAACUUUUAAGGAUUUAAUGUAAAUUACAUUAAAAUAGUUAAGCUGAAAUUGAUAUAGUUUGAUUUGUCUAUGUACAAGCUUGAUACUUAAAGGUCCCUUGAGCAUCAAACUUGUGUGAUCAUCAGAAAGAGUACAGACCCCUAAUAAAACAGUAAGUCCUGAAUUAUGCUCAGUAAAGUUAUUUGGAAGUAGCAUUAUUCAUCAGCAUGCAGUGCCUUUUGUGACCAUUGUUCACAGGGUUUUGUGAAGGUCAUUCAGUCAAUAUGUAGUCUGAAGUCUGACUAUGUCAUGUCAUUCAGUAAAUGUGUAGUUUGAAUUCUGACUAUGUCAUGUCAUUCAGUCAAUGUGUAGUCUGAAGUCUGACUAUGUCUUGUCAUUCAGUCAAUGUGUAGUCUGAAGUCUGACUAUGUCUUGUCAUUCAGUCAAUGUGUAGUCUGAAAUCUGACCAUGUCAUGUCAUUCAGUCAAUGUGUAGUCUGAAAUCUGACUGUCUUGUCAUUCAGUCAAUGUGUAGUCUGAAUUCUGACUAUGUCCUGUCAUUCAGUCAAUGUGUAGUCUGAAGUCUGACUAUGUCUUGUCAUUCAGUCAAUGUGUAGUCUGAAGUCUGACUAUGUCUUGUCAUUCAGUCAAUGUGUAGUCUGAAGUCUGACUAUGUAAUGUAAAUGUAAUGUAAUUCAGUUAACAUGAAGUCUGACAAUGUAAUGCAACACUCAUCUGAAAGCUGAUGACCAAUGUUGGUCAACAUCUUGGUCAGCUGUCCCAACAUGCCAGGAGUGGCACAUUCAGAAUGCUUAAUGCUUAUUCAAGUGGAACAGACAAAAUGUUAAGUAUAUUGCAGACAAGACAUGAACAGAUUAUCAUAAUAUAUUAAAAAUAUAUCAAAUGGCA
Molecule: long non-coding RNA, 1234 nt
Organism: Esox lucius (northern pike)
Lineage: Eukaryota; Metazoa; Chordata; Actinopteri; Esociformes; Esocidae
Exons: 2
Source: RefSeq, a predicted model, not a curated record